This 520-nucleotide long non-coding RNA is filed under the name Brachypodium distachyon (stiff brome). RNAcentral's name for it is "long non-coding RNA (BDIS_LNC001523)". Lineage: Eukaryota; Viridiplantae; Streptophyta; Magnoliopsida; Poales; Poaceae. The record is from RNAcentral.
GGAGCGGGGUUGAGGGCGCUGCCCACCCUGACUCCACUAGGGUGAAUCGAGUGGCCUUCUCUACAUCUGCGGCCUUGUCAAUAAUCCUGAACAGUGCAGCCAUGGUGCGGGUCUUGGCCUUGGCAAGGUUGGCGAUGCAUCUGAUCCAUUGGACUCCUUGCUGGAAAUCUCGGAGUAUGGCAUACUCGAUCGGAAACUUGCGGGAUUGAGUUCCGCACACUGAUGAAACGGCGGACGAAGUAGCGAAGUGACUCAUCAUCCUCCCGAACGAGUCAAAAGAGGUCAUCCCCUUGACCCAAACGUGUGUAAUCUUCUUGAAAGUUGUUCAGGAACUCACGACGUAGCUGCUCCCGCUAUCGGAUGGAUCCUGGGGGAAGGUUGGUCAGCCAUUGCCGGGCCGACCCUUUCUGAGAGGUCAUCAGGUACUUAGCCCUGUGCUAGAUGGACCUCACACUACUUUUGGAACUCUUAGGGCAAUUAUUGUAUCUUACUUUCCGCUGCACUCUUAUUUGUAUUUGAC